AGAGUUUGAUCCUGGCUCAGAACGAACGCUGGCGGCAUGCCUAACACAUGCAAGUCGAACGCACCGCAAGGUGAGUGGCGCACGGGUGAGUAACGCGUGGGAACCUGCCCUGGAGUGGGGGAUAACCCGGCGAAAGCCGGGCUAAUACCGCAUACGUCCUGAGGGAGAAAGAUUUAUCGCUCUAGGAGGGGCCCGCGUCG
This 200-nucleotide ribosomal RNA is filed under the name uncultured bacterium. RNAcentral's name for it is "partial 16S ribosomal RNA". It matches the Rfam family "Bacterial small subunit ribosomal RNA", at positions 8 to 238 of the family's 1533-position model. The record is from RNAcentral.